CAGCAGUUGUAUUCCAGAAAUGCCAGCUCGUAGCUAGAAAACCGGGUAAAUACCAGCAAAACAUGGUGACUGCACAAGGCAGGACGGACCCAAAUCAGGCCACGGGGACAUCAAUUCAGUUCUGUAACAUAAUAGCAAGUUCGGACCUAGAACCAGUCCUGAAAGAAUUCCCAACAUAUCUUGGUAGGCCAUGGAAAGAAUAUUCAAGAACUGUAGUGAUGGAAUCAUACUUAGGUGGUCUCAUUAAUCCAGCGGGUUGGGCUGAGUGGGACGGAGAUUUUGCGUUGAAGACAUUGUAUUAUGGUGAAUUUAUGAACAAUGGACCUGGUGCUGGUACUAGUAAGCGUGUCAAGUGGCCUGGUUAUCAUGUCAUUACUGAUCCCGCUAAAGCUAUGCCGUUCACUGUGGCUAAGCUGAUUCAGGGCGGAUCAUGGUUGAGGUCUACUGGCGUGGCGUAUGUGGAUGGAUUAUAUGAUUAGAGUAUAUAUAUGAUGUGCCACAUGAGCAGGGCAGAGCAAGCAUAACACACAACUCUAGUGUGACAAGCAUUUACAUGGCUCAUUCGUUACUACUAAGUUGUCAAUAAGUUCUGUUUAGGGGUUCAUAAGUUUAUAUACGUAUAUACAUUUACAUUGGUGAUGAAGCUGAAACUGAUGAUGCUUUAAUGUAAUUAUAGUUUUCUGAAAAAGGAUAUGAGUAAUAUUAGUUUUUCCCAGAUGUGUAUGGUUGUGGAACUGUUUAUGCUUAAAUUGGCAAGGGGUAUUGAAUAAAAAUCUAUUGUGUUACCUUUUGGCUGUUUCAUAUUUAUUCUUUUUUUUUUUUGAUCUAUUUUGAUUUCAUAGUUGGAAAAUUACGUGAUUAAUCAUACUUAUAGUAGUUAAUUACCUAACAUGGCUACAAUUUGUAUUAAUUACAAUUCGAAACUUACUUCUAGCUAUAAUUGCAUUCCCAUCUCUCUCUCCCUCUCUCAAGAAUCUCGCUCACAACUCUUUUUUUUUGAGUCAUAUAUCCUUGCAAGUCUCUCUCGGUUCUCUUCUAUCAGUGUCUCUUUUACUUUAUACAAGCAAAAAUUAUACAAAUAUAUAAUUUUUGUUCGUGUUUGUAUUAAGUGAGAGAGAGACCGGAUAUGCAAAUACAAAAUAUAUCUCUUUGCCCUAUACACUUGUAUUUUUUAUACAAAUACAAUUCUCUCCCUGCCUAGUUCUCUCUCUCUCUCUCUCUUUUUCUUUCUCUCUCGCUUUAUACAAACACAAAUUACAUCAUUGAUACAUAUACAUAGUAGUAUACAAAUACAAUUUAUCUCACUCCACUUCCGCCCACUCUAGCUCAUCUCUCUCCUGCCUUUCUCAAUCUCGCACGCCACUCUCCUUUCUCUAACAUGUAGCUACAAAUAGUAAUUAGCAUAUUAUAGUUAUGAAGCAUAAUUAAAUUGUUUUUGAGUAGCUAUAUGUGAAAAUUCUUAAUUUUUGAGUGGCUAGCUAUAAAUCUUUUCUAAUUUUUUGUUCAAAUAUUCGAUCAAAGUUGAUGAUAAUUUGAAUAUUAGCAAAUUUAAGAAAAUAUCAAUAUAUUUUGCCUAAAGUUUAUUGCCAUACAAAUAUAAUCACAUAACAAAGAAUUAAUACAUAAUUAACUUAUUGUGAAAUGAGGUCUUGGGCCUAACUCACAUCCUAAAAGCUAGCUCAAAUUAGUAUAAAAUUUUUGUUAUUCUUUAACUACGUCACCUUGCACCCGUUGCCUAACAUCUAGUGCAUAGACAAUUUAAUUUUGGGGCCCGAACAUUGAGUGAGAUUGACCGACUUUGAUAUCAUGUGAAAUUAGAUUUUGAGCUCAGCUUACACCUCAAAAAUUAGCUUAAAGGGAGGAAGAUUGUCCAAAUCUUAUAAGGACUUCACCAUCUCAAUAACCACUAGUGUGGAUUUUUGUCAUUUUUUAACAAUUCUUAUCAACAUAUCCGAAAUAAGCAAUAUUGCAAUGCAAUAUAGCUAUGGGGCGUAAUUAUUGAAACUAUAACUAUAAAGCCUUAUUAUGUUUAGUAUAUUUGUUGUUUCUCAAUAUACACCGAGUAUACAUGAAAAAUAUUUCGACUAUUUAAUUUUGAUCAACUUAGAAGAACCUUUUAAACAAUUCCAAAAUUUUAAUAUGAAAAUUCUCUUAGAUAUUUCGAGUGCUCGAAAAAAUUGGAAGAAGAAACUGACACGACAAUGAUAUCUCUUGCUAGCUUAACAAUAAUAUAAAAAGUGUUUGUUAAUAUUUGUAGUUGAAUUAGUUAUAUUAGAAUAGAUUUAUCUGAAUUAGAUUCUUUUUGAAGUAUAAAUCUAACCAAGAAGGCAAAUGAAAUAAUUGGACAAACUCACCUUAUGAUACAUUUUAUAGAGUAUUUAACGAAAGUGAAAAGACUAAUCAGAAUAAAUAUCAUUAAGAAGAUUAAACUAUGUACAACUAAUAAUAACAAAGAAAUUUUAUAUUCUAAAAUAUGAGUGAAGAAUGUAAAAAGAAGAUACAAUUACACACAAGAAUUAUAGGAAUAGUAAAUAAAAAAUUUUCUUGGCAAAGUUAAAUUUAUAGAAUAAAAUUACAGAAAUAUGAAAAGACACGUGAAAAAUUGAAAGGUCAAAUAUUAUUAAAAUAAAUAUAAAAAAGAUAGAGAUGAAAUUUAACUUUAAAAGAUACAUGAAUCUACUUUAAUUUCUUGUCUUUAAAGAAUAAUUACUUAUUUGUAUUUUUUAAAAUUUGUGUGAGAAAUUUGAAAGGUUCAAGAUUUUGAAAUGAGAAUAAGAAGAUUAUAUGAAAAUUAUAAAAGUUUUAAUUUAGUAGAGGGGCAAAAUAGUAAUUCAAUUUUUUACUUUGCAGCUUUCCAUUUAUAAUAUGAUACUAGUAUUAUUAUAAGUGGGAAGAACUCAAGUCAAAAGUUGAAUUACGAUUUUACCCUCCUAUAAAUUAAAAUGUUAUAAUUAGUUUAAUUAAAUAAUAAUAACUUUUGAAUUUUCUUAGAUUAAUUCCUAUUAUUAUUAUUGUUGUUGUUGUUGUUGUUGUUGUUAUUAUUAUUAUUAAAAGUGAAAAAAGCUUUUAGCUUCAAAAUUGAUUACCAUUUUACCCCUACUGUAAGUAAAAAUGUUAUAAAAUAUUUAAUUAGUCAAAUAUUAGAAUUCUCAAUAAGUUUUUUCUAAUAUAUAUUUGUAUUUCAAAUUUUUAUGCAACCUAUAAUUACAAUAUUUAAUAUGUAUUAACCUCUCACAAUUGAAUUAUUAUUAUUAUUAUUAUUAAUUAUGAUAAAAAAUCUUAUUCUGCAUACCUUAACUAUAAGUUAAAUAAAAUUCAUUUAAUUAAUUUUUCAGUUACAUAAAUUGAACGGGAUUUGAAAGUGGAAAAGUGAUUGUUUAAUGUCCAGAGUCAUACAUGAUUAAUUGCUUUAAAUUAACACAUCAUGUAUUACUUUACCAAACUCUUUCAAUUCCUAUAAUUUGUCUUCUGAUUUUCUUAAUUUGUCUCAUCAAAUUCUAACACUUUUAAUUUAGUAACCAAUCUUUAUUAAUAAACAUCAGUAGAACUUGAAUAGUUCAUUAAGUAUUUAAGUGUAAGUUAAUUAGUAUUAUGUCAAAAGAAAUUUGAAAGAACAUAAAAAAACACUAUAUAAAGGAAACAAAUGAUUUUCAUUUCCUUCAAGUUUUAUUUCUUUAGUUAAACAUCUAACACCCCUUCUAAAUUUCUUUCUUUUCCCUUAAAUUUUUUCGUUUGCAUGAACUAAAGAAAAUGGGAAUGAAGAAACAUGUAGAGUUGAUAAAUGUUGGAAUUAAAUGAUUGUCAUAUCAAUUUACAUGCAACACUCAACAUUCAUUGAAUGAUAUAUGAAGAUUACUUAGUCCUUAAGGAGUGCUAGCAGAAAUUCAUGAGCUAUGAAAAGGAGGAAAUUGAUUUCUUUGGAAUACUGAUUUUAAAAUUUUCAUUAAUUGAUUUUAUUCUUAUAAUGUACUGUAAUUAUAAUUGCUUGAGACUAUAGAUAAAAUGCUAUGUUAUUUGUGUAUUUGGAAGGAGUUAUAAAAAUGAUAUCUUGUAGUAUGCCUUCAUGGCAUCAUGUGAUUGGUAUUGAAAAAUUAUAUUGUAACUUUUUUUGUAUUUUGUAAUGUUUCUUUAUAUGUAUCUUCAUAUUGGAACUUACUAAUUUAUUUUACAAAAGAAUUAGGAGCAUAUGCAUCAUAAAUAAAUAUAGUAUCAAACUUUUUAAAGGAAAAUUUUCUUUCAUUUUGAUAAAAACUAUUUUAGCUACUACAAGAUAUAGGGAUCUUCACUUAAAUAGUCGGAUAUAUUUACUAUUACUUUUUCUAGCCUAUAUAUAUAUACUAGUUUUCGAGCACGCGCUUUGCGUGUGUAACCCAUGAGUGUAUUAUUUCUUAAAAGAUAAUAUUACUAAAUAAUAAAAUGUCUAAUUGAGAUUUUUUACUUUGUUUUACUACUAAUUGUGACACUCCAAUUUUCUGACCUCCAAGUGAAUGCAUCAAGAUAAUAAUACGAGAAAUUAAUAAAAUAAACUUUGUUUGUAAUUAAAAAAAUAAGUUUGCAAAGCUAAAAGGAAAAAUAACAACUAUCUAAAUUAAAUUUCUUGAUAGUUCCGUUUUAUUGGUAGAAUAAUGCUAGAUAGUGUAAGAUUAACUUUGAGUGAAGAAAAACAAAACCUUUCAACUUUAUUAAUGAAUGUGUUUUAUGUAUUGUAUUAAAUUUUUAUCCACAAACACUUUAAACUAAUUAGUUAACUAUAAAUAUUUAAAAUUAAGAUGUAAAAAGUUUUAUCAUUUAUAUUUAAAAAAUCAGGAUAUUUAUGAAUAACUACUAUUUUUAUAUAAAAUUUAAUUCUGUCAUACAUAACUUAAUCCACCAUUAAUCUAAUAUUAUAUGUUUCAGCUUUUUUUUUUCAUAAAAAGAAUUGAAAAGAGUAAACAUCCUAUUUUAUCACAUUUAUUCUUAAAGAUGAAAAUUAAUGUAUAUAUAAAAAAUUAUAAGUACGGAGAAAAGAAAAAAAAAAGGUAUAAAUGAGCAAAAUAAUUAGGCAUUUCAUUUUGUUUGUCUCUAUAGUGAAACUGAACAUUUGAGCAUACAAAAUACAAAUAUGAAUUUAGAGCAACUUGCUAGUAAAACAAGAAUUCAACAAUAUGAAGAGAGACAAAAAAGUCUUAUAAUAAUUCUUACUACAAAUAAGUAUAAAACUAACACAUCAAGCUCCGAUUCUUCAGUAAUUGAAUUCUUAUCUAUUCUCGUAACUGCAUAAGAGAAUCUCACAACUUUCACAUCAAAUUGUGUCAUUAUUUCACAUGUUUAGAGUUCCUACAUACAAGAAUUGUAGGAGUGGUAAAUAAAAGUUCUUCUUGAAAAAGUUAAAUUUAUAGAACAAAAUUAUGGAAACAUGAAAAGUCACAUGAAUUCUUGUUAAAAUAAAUAUAAAAAAGAUAGAGAUGAAAUUUAAUUUUAAAGAUACAUGAAUCUACUUUAAUUUCUUGAUAAUUACUCAUUUUUGUUUUAUUUUGCAUUUAUGUUAGAAAUUUGUAAGGUCAAGAUUAUGAAAUGAGAAUAAGAAGAUUAUAUAUAUAUAUAUAUAUUAGUUUUAAUUUAUUAGAGGGGCAAAAUGGUAAUUCAACUUUUAAGUUUUGAGCUUCAUGCUUAUAAUAAUAUAAGAUGAUUAGUUCGAGUUCAAAUUUAUUCAAGAAAAAAAUAUUUCUUACUUAAUGUUUUUUUUUUAUAAAUAUCAAAACUCAAAUAUAUUUGGCUUUUCGAUUAAGAGUGAAAGAAUCUAACUGUUCGAAUAAUCUCACUCGAUGAAAGUUCUACUAACACAAAUUCAAGAGAGUUGGGAACCAAAAUAAGCAACAAAAAUAUAAAAGUAACUAAAAUAAGCCACUAUUUUAGUAAGUAACUAAAAUAAGCUUAGUGGAAGAAAAAGUUCCACUAUAUCCAAUUUUCUAAACGUUUUCCAUUACUGUCAUAAUGUUUAUUUUUAAUAUAUAACGGAACUUUUUCUUCCACUUUAUAAAGUGGAACUUUUUAUUCCACUUUAUAAAGUGGAAGAAAAUCUUCCAAUUUAUGAAAAGUUACCUUUUCAUUUUCACCUUCACCUUCUCUCAUUUUUCUUUUCAUGGCUUCCAAAAAAAAAAUCACUUUGAAGAUGGUCAUCUACAUCAAAAAUUCACUUUAAAAAAAUAAGUGUUAGACAUAGCGAUAAUCAUCUGCGUCAAAAGUAGGCGAGACAUGAAAAUUUGAGGAUGUCCCAACAUUUUCCGUCAUUUCAAAGUGUGAGGACUAACCAAAAUAAUUAUUUAGUCCAUAACUUGGAGCAAUAUCCCUAUCUUGCUGAGGUAAACCGCUACAAAAUAUAUAAUAAUAAGAAUAAUAAAUAAUAUAAAUAAAUAAAUAAUUGACAAAAUCAACAAACAAUAAUUGAAAUAUAAUAAUUGAGCAUUACCGAUCACUAUCAUUGAUAGUUUUGUUUAAAUCAAAAUCAUAUCUGCCGGUAAGAGUAUUUUGAUAAUGAGUCAUUUUAGGAAAAUCAGUAGAUUGAAUUAUCAGAAAUUCAUCAAUGCUAUUAUGAUUUUCUAAUUAGGGAUGAACAUCGACUGAUAAAGGAGAACGUUGUUGACUAAUCUUAGGCUCCUUCCUAACAUAGAUUCCAAGUAUUGUUGACUUGAUUUGAUCUAUAUAGUAAUUUGGAACCCUUAAAAAGUCGGUCAACGAUUCGUCAUUAUAUAUAAUUCACUCUCCAAAAUUUACUUGUCCAUGUGAUAAAAAUGAAGUAGGGUAUUUUCCAGCUAUAAUCAAAUUAUAAUCGUAUUGUUUAUACCCAUUCAUUUAUAAAAUGAUGAAAUAAAUUUAUGAUAUCGGACAUUUAUUGGAUAUUUAGCAUUGUGUUUGUGAGGACAAUUAUAAUAAAUGGUAUUUCCGUCAUGUAUAAUUUCGCCAUCCUAAUAAAUUGAAACUUUAACUAUAGGUGUAGAAGAUAUUUUUUUUUAGAUUGAAAUGAACAAAUAUAGAAGACUUUAUGUUGUAGGUGCUAUCGACUAUGUAUAAACGUCCUUAAAUAGAUUUUUCAAAAUAAAAUAAUAAAAAUACAUAAUGAAAUAUUUUUUUCUGUUUUAAUGACAUAUCAAAUCAAUAUAAUUUAUAUGACAACACUGAAAAAACUUAUUCAAGACGUGAAAAAUAUUUUUCUUGUAAAAUGUAAUAAAAAGUUCCACUUUAUAAAGUGGAAUAAAAAGUUUCACUUUAUAAAGUGAAAGAAAAAACUCCACUUUAUAAAGUGUAAGAAAAAAUUUCGUUAUAUAUUAAAAAUAAACGUUAUGAAAUUAACAGAAAACGUUUAAAUUAUUGGAUACAGUGAAACUUUUUCUUCCACUGAGCUUAUUUUAGUUAUUACUAAAAUAGUGAAUUAUUUUAAUUACUUUUAUAUUUUUGUGAAUUAUUUUGGUUUCUAACUCAAUUCAAGAUGGUCCUAGCUCUUACCUACUUUGGACAAAGUAGUUGAAAGUCACAUCAAUUCUCCCUCUUUUGUAAAAAUUAUCAUAUUAUUGCCAGUAUAUUAUAUUAUUAUUGCUUCCACUCCAUAAGUGAAAAAUCAAAGACGGAAUGGGAAGAUGCAUGAGUAUUUUUUAGAUUAUAAUGAAAUUUCAGAGACACAUUUUAAAUAAAUUAAGGUUUUAUUAUUUUUUUUGAACUAAUUUUUUUUUUUUUUGUAAUUUUGUUCACCUUUUGACUUACGUGAAAUCCAAAUAUCUUCCACGUACCUCAAUUGCUUGAAGUCACGUAAUACAAAAGUCGUACAAAAUUACAAAAAAAAGUUAAAAAAAAUAAUAUGACAUUUGUUUAGUUAAGAUGUGUCUGAAAUUUUGAUAGAAGUCUAGAGGGUAAUUAUGCAUUUUUCCAUAAUAAUAGAAAGAUAUUUGUGAUUAGUGAGUACAUGGUGAAAGGUUACUAGUCACCGAGCAUCCAAAUACAUUGGCAUUCCUUAAAUUUAUCAGUAACUUUAAUUUAGACAUUCUAAUUAUGAAUGUUAUAAAUAAAUCUUGUCACCUGACAUUUUCGAGUUUCAACUCAAAAUUUUGAGAAAACUUUUACCGUUAUUUUUAAGUGUAUAUAAUAAGUUAAAGUUAAAUCACCUAAAAUACGUCAGCAUAUACGAAUGACACAUAUUAUAUAAACAAAGUAUUAUAGUAAGUGAAAGUGUAUCAAAACAUUUUAACACAUAGUUUGCGAACUUCUAAAAUGGCUACUCCUCAACAACCUUUGUUAACAAAAACACACAAACAAAAUUCCAUAAUCAGCUUCAAGAUCCUCACUUUUGUUGUAACUUUGUUUGUUGCUCUCUUCUUAGUUGUGUUUCUUGUUGCUCCAUAUCAAUUUGAGAUUAAACAUUCUAAUCUGUGUAAAACUGCACAAGAUUCCCAACUCUGUCUCAGUUAUGUUUCUGAUUUAAUAUCCAAUGAAAUUGUCACAUCUGAUUCAGAUGGACUAAGUAUUCUGAAGAAAUUUUUAGUUUACUCUGUUCAUCAAAUGAACAAUGCAAUUCCAGUGGUUCGCAAAAUCAAGAAUCAGAUCAAUGACAUUCGUGAACAAGGGGCUUUAACUGAUUGUCUUGAGCUUCUUGAUCUGUCAGUUGAUUUAGUAUGUGAUUCAAUUGCAGCAAUUGAUAAGAGAAGUCGUUCGGAGCAUGCCAAUGCGCAAAGUUGGCUAAGUGGUGUGCUUACUAACCACGUUACGUGCUUGGAUGAGCUUGAUUCCUUUACUAAAGCUAUGAUAAAUGGAACGAAUCUUGAUGAGUUGAUCUCGAGAGCUAAGGUAGCAUUGGCGAUGCUUGCGUCUGUGACAACUCCAAAUGAUGAAGUUUUGAGGCCGGGUUUAGGAAAAAUGCCAUCUUGGGUGAGUUCGAGGGAUAGGAAGCUGAUGGAGAGUUCGGGUAAGGACAUUGGAGCGAAUGCAGUGGUGGCAAAAGAUGGAACAGGGAAAUAUCGAACACUUGCUGAAGCUGUUGCUGCAGCACCAGAUAAGAGUAAGACGCGUUAUGUAAUUUAUGUAAAGAGGGGAACUUAUAAAGAGAAUGUUGAGGUGAGUAGCAGGAAAAUGAAUUUGAUGAUUAUUGGUGAUGGCAUGUAUGCUACCAUCAUUACUGGGAGCCUUAAUGUUGUCGAUGGAUCAACAACCUUCCACUCUGCCACUCUUGGUAGGCUUUAAAUAACUUAUGUAUAUAUAGUAGAUGUUGAAUUCUUUGGCCUCUUCGUAUAUAUACUUUUGAUAUUUCAAACCCCCUUACUGAAAAUCCUUGCUCCGCCAUCAUGACCUAGGAUUAAGGAUUGUGUUAUUUGUAGUUCAUAUUUGAUUAAUGAACAAGUGUACGUAUAUACUCGUGAAUUUUCAUCAUAUUGCAGCUGCAGUUGGCAAAGGAUUUAUACUACAGGACAUAUGUAUACAGAACACAGCAGGACCAGCUAAACACCAAGCUGUUGCACUUCGAGUUGGAGCUGAUAAGUCUGUCAUAAAUCGUUGUCGUAUCGAUGCUUAUCAAGACACCCUUUAUGCACAUUCUCAAAGGCAAUUCUAUCGAGACUCCUACGUGACAGGUACUUGUGAAGUAGAUUACCUCAAAUGUGCUAUACUCUCUAUUGAACUCGGUAUUAAAAAGUUCAAAUCUUGAAUCCAUCUCUGCAGGGACUAUUGAUUUCAUAUUCGGUAAUGCAGCAGUUGUAUUCCAGAAAUGCCAGCUCGUAGCUAGAAAACCGGGUAAAUACCAGCAAAACAUGGUGACUGCACAAGGCAGGACGGACCCAAAUCAGGCCACGGGGACAUCAAUUCAGUUUUGUGAUAUAAUAGCAAGUCCUGACCUAAAACCAGUCGUGAAAGAAUUCCCAACAUAUCUUGGUAGGCCAUGGAAAAAAUAUUCAAGAACUGUAGUGAUGGAAUCAUACUUGGGUGGUCUCAUUGAUCCAUCGGGUUGGGCUGAGUGGCACGGAGAUUUUGCGUUAAAGACAUUGUAUUAUGGUGAAUUUAUGAAUAAUGGACCUGGUGCUGGUACUAGUAAGCGUGUCAAGUGGCCUGGCUAUCAUGUCAUUACUGACCCCGCUGAAGCUAUGUCAUUCACUGUGGCUAAGCUGAUUCAGGGCGGAUCAUGGUUGAGGUCUACUGACGUGGCGUAUGUGGAUGGAUUAUAUGAUUAGAGUGAUAUAAAAUUACUCUUUGUUUAUGUAACAAGACAUCUUUAAAAAGUUCAAAGUAAGUAGUAGUAAUAUAUCCAUAUGAAGUGCCACAUGAGCAGGGCAGAGCCGGGAUUAAGUGUCUAAAGCAUAACACACAACUCUAGUGUGACAAGCAUUUACAUGGCUCAUUCCUUACUACUAAGUCGUCAAUAAGUUCAGUUAAGGGGUUCAUAAGUUAAUAUACGUAUAUAUAUUUAUGUUGGCGAUAAAGCUGAAACUGAUGAUGCUUUAAUGUAAUUAUAGUUUUCUGAAAAAGGAUAUGUGUAAUAUUAGGUUUUCCCUGAUGUUUAUGGUUGUGGGGUGGUGGUUAUGAUAAAAAUAUGCAAGAUGAAAGUCAUUGUGUUACCUUUUGGCAGUUUCAUGUUUAUUCUUCUUUUUCUUUUGAUUUAUUUCGAUUUUUUAGUUGGGGGAAUUACGCAGUUAGACAAACAUAUACUAGUUAACUAGCUAACACGGCUACAAUUUGUAUUAAUUACGAUUAGGAACUUACUUCUAGAUAUAAUUGCAUUCCCCCCUCUCUCUCUCCCUCUUUCGAGAAUCUCGCUCGCAACUCUCCUUUUUUCAGUCAUCUCUCCCUUCCCAGUCUCUCUCUCUCGAUUCUCUUCUGUCAGUCUCUCUCUCUUACUUUAUACAAAUACAAAAACACAAAUGUAUAUUUUGAAACUUCGUUUGAUGCUUCAUUGUUCUAUGAUGAGACUUGAAGCAGACUUCAUCUUACUUGAAUACUUCGACAUCCACUUCUCUUCAUUCUCAAGUUAUAAUUUUUUUCUAAGAGAGAUUAUUCGUAGUUAUUAGGUAUUCAAUACUUAUUAGUUUGAUUAGUUCGAGUUCAAAUCUAUUAAAGAAAGAAACACUUUAAAUCUACGACCUUCAGUUAAGAAUGAAAGAAUGCAAUCGAUUCUAAUAAUCUCACCUCAAAGUUCUACUAACACAAUUUCAAGAUGAUCCUAACUCCUACCUACUUUGGACUAAGUAAGUUAAGUCACAUCAAUUCUCCCUCUUUUGUCAAAUUUAUCAUAUUACUGGCAAGAAAACUUUUGCGAGUAUUUUCAAGCAUUCAUUAUUAUAUACGUUAGAGUUAAACCACCUAAAAUACGUCAGCGUAUAUGAAUUACACAUAUUUUAAGUGAGUAUUCCAAAACAUCCAACACAUGACAGAGUUACAAACUUCUAAAAGAAUGGCUACUCCUCUACAACCUUUCUUAACAAAAACACACAAACAAAAUCCCAUAAUCGGCUUCAAUAUCCUCACUUUUGUUGUAACUUUGUUUGUUGCUCUCUUCUUAGUUGUGUUUCUUGUUGCUCCAUAUCAAUUUGAGAUUAAACAUUCUAAUCUGUGUAAAAGUGCACAAGGUUCCCAACUCUGCCUUAGUUAUGUCUCUGAAAUUGUCACAACAGAAUCAGAUGGAGUAACUGUUCUGAAGAAAUUUCUAGUUAAAUAUGUCCAUCAAAUGAACAAUGCAAUUCCAGUGGUUCGCAAAAUCAAGAAUCAGAUCAAUGACAUUCGUCAACACGGGGCUUUAACUGAUUGUCUUGAGCUUCUUGAUCAGUCAGUUGAUUUAGUAUCUGAUUCAAUUGCAGCAAUUGAUAAAAGAAGUCGUUUGGAGCAUGCCAAUGUGCAAAGUUGGCUAAGUGGUGUGCUUACAAACCACGUUACGUGUUUAGAUGAGCUUACUUCGUUAAGUACUAAGAAUGGAACGGUUCUUGAUGAGUUGAUCACGAGAGCUAAGGUAGCAUUGGCGAUGCUUGCAUCCGUGACAACUCCAAAUGAUGAAGUUUUGAGGCAGGGUUUAGGAAAAAUGCCAUAUUGGGUGAGUUCGAGGGAUAGGAAGCUGAUGGAGAGUUCGGGUAAGGACAUUAUAGCGAAUGCAGUGGUGGCACAAGAUGGAACGGGGGAUUAUCAAACACUUGCUGAAGCUGUUGAUGCUGCACCAGAUAAGAAUAAGACGCGUUAUGUAAUUUAUGUAAAGAUGGGAAUUUAUAAAGAGAAUGUUGUGGUGACUAAGAAAAAAAUGAACUUAAUGAUUGUUGGUGAUGGCAUGAAUGCUACCAUCAUUACUGGUAGCCUUAAUGUUGUCGAUGGAUCAACAACCUUCCGCUCUGCCACUCUUGGUAAGGUUUCAACAACUUAUGUAUAUAUAGUAGAUGUUGAACCCUUUAGCGUCUUUGUUAUGUAUACUUUUGAUAUUUCAAACACCCUUAAUGAAAAUCCUGGUUCCGCUAUCAUGAGCAAGUGUAACAUAUACUAGUGCAUUUUCAUAAUAUUGCAGCUGCAGUUGGCCAAGGAUUUAUACUACAGGACUUAUGUAUACAGAACACAGCAGGGCCAGAGAAAGGCCAAGCAGUGGCACUUCGAGUUGGAGCUGAUAUGUCUGUCAUAAAUCGUUGUCGUAUUGAUGCUUAUCAAGACACCCUAUAUGCACAUUCUCAAAGGCAAUUCUAUCGAGACUCCUACGUGACAGGUACUCGUGAAGCAGAUUACCCCAAAUGUGCUAUGCUUUCCAUUGAACUCAGUAUUAAAAAGUUCAAAAUCCUAAAUCCGUCUCUGCAGGUACUGUUGAUUUCAUAUUUGGUAAUGCAGCAGUUGUAUUCCAGAAAUGUCAGAUCGUAGCUAGAAAACCGAAUAAAAGACAGAAAAACAUGGUGACUGCACAAGGCAGGACGGACCCAAAUCAGGCCACGGGGACAUCAAUUCAGUUCUGUGACAUAAUUGCAAGUCCGGACCUUGAACCAGUCAUGAAUGAAUACAAAACAUAUCUUGGUAGGCCAUGGAAAAAACAUUCAAGAACGGUAGUGAUGCAAUCAUACCUAGAUGGUCAUAUUGAUCCAUCAGGUUGGUUUGAAUGGCGCGGAGAUUUUGCAUUGAAGACAUUGUAUUAUGGUGAAUAUAUGAACAAUGGACCUGGUGCUGGUACUAGUAAGCGUGUCAAGUGGCCUGGUUAUCAUGUCAUUACUGAUCCCAAUGAGGCUAUGCCGUUCACUGUGGCUGAGCUGAUUCAGG
Molecule: long non-coding RNA, 13227 nt
Filed under: Solanum lycopersicum (tomato)
Lineage: Eukaryota; Viridiplantae; Streptophyta; Magnoliopsida; Solanales; Solanaceae
Description: long non-coding RNA (SLYC_LNC000476)
Source: RNAcentral